GAGUUUGAUCAUGGCUCAGGACGAACGCUGGCGGCGUGCCUAAUACAUGCAAGUCGAGCGGAGUUGAAUAAGUGCUUGCACUAAUUCAACUUAGCGGCGAACGGGUGAGUAACACGUAAAGAACCUGCCUCAUAGACUGGGACAACUACUGGAAACGGUAGCUAAUACCGGAUAACAUAUUUUUCUGCAUGGAAGAAUAUUGAAAGUCGGUCAUGCUGACACUAUGAGAUGGCUUUGCGGUGCAUUAGCUAGUUGGUAGGGUAAAGGCCUACCAAGGCGACGAUGCAUAGCCGACCUGAGAGAGUGAUCGGCCACACUGGGACUGAGACACGGCCCAGACUCCUACGGGAGGCAGCAGUAGGGAAUCUUCCGCAAUGGACGAAAGUCUGACGGAGCAACGCCGCGUGAGUGAAGAAGGAUUUCGGUUCGUAAAACUCUGUUGUUAGGGAAGAAUGAUUGUAUAGUAACUAUAUACAGUAGAGACG
RNAcentral lists this ribosomal RNA (485 nucleotides) under Gemelliphila palaticanis. RNAcentral's name for it is "bacterial SSU rRNA". It matches the Rfam family "Bacterial small subunit ribosomal RNA", at positions 9 to 474 of the family's 1533-position model. Lineage: Bacteria; Bacillati; Bacillota; Bacilli; Caryophanales; Gemellaceae. The record is from RNAcentral.